This 460-nucleotide ribosomal RNA is filed under the name uncultured bacterium. RNAcentral's name for it is "partial 16S ribosomal RNA". It matches the Rfam family "Bacterial small subunit ribosomal RNA", at positions 338 to 795 of the family's 1533-position model. The record is from RNAcentral.
CCUACGGGCGGCAGCAGUGAGGAAUAUUGGUCAAUGGUCGGGAGCCUGAACCAGCCAAGCCGCGUGAGGGAGGAAGGUACAGAGUAUCGUAACCCUCUUUUGUCAGGGCACAGAGACUGGGGCGCGUUCCCGGAUGAGUGUACCUGAAGAAAAAGCAUCGGCUAACUCCGGGCCAGCAGCCGCGGUAAUACGUAGGAUGCGAUCGUUAUCCGGAUUUAAUGGGUUUAAAGGGGGGGCAGGCGGUCUGUUAAGUCAGACGUCAAAGCCCGGGGCUCAACCCCGGCACCGCGUUUGAACCGGGCAGUCGUGAGUGGUAGAGAAGCAGGCGGAAGGCGCGGUGUAGCGGUGAAAUGCGUAGAUAUAGGGAGGAACUCCGGUGGCGAAGGCAGCAUGCCGGCUACACACUGACGCUGAGGCGCGAAAGCGUGGGGAGCGAACAGGAUUAGAUACCCGAGUAGUC